CAGGAUGAACGCUAGCGACAGGCUUAACACAUGCAAGUCGAGGGGCAGCGGGGGCGAAGCUUGCUUCGCCUGCCGGCGACCGGCGCACGGGUGAGUAACACGUAUGCGACCUGCCCCCCGCAGGGGGAUAACCGGGAGAAAUCCCGACUAAUACCGCGUAACGCCGCUGGGCUGCAUGGCCCGGCGGCCAAAGGAAGCGAUUCCGGCGGGGGAUGGGCAUGCGGCGCAUUAGCUAGUCGGCGGGGUAACGGCCCACCGAGGCGACGAUGCGUAGGGGUUCUGAGAGGAAGGUCCCCCACACUGGUACUGAGACACGGACCAGACUCCUACGGGAGGCAGCAGUGAGGAAUAUUGGUCAAUGGGCGGGAGCCUGAACCAGCCAAGUCGCGUGAGGGAAGACGGUCCUACGGAUUGUAAACCUCUUUUGCCGGGGAGCAACGGGGUCCUUGCGAGGGCCCGAUGAGAGUACCCGGAGAAAAAGCAUCGGCUAACUCCGUGCCAGCAGCCGCGGUAAUACGGAGGAUGCGAGCGUUAUCCGGAUUUAUUGGGUUUAAAGGGUGCGUAGGCGGGCUGUUAAGUCAGCGGUCAAAUGUCGGGGCUCAACCCCGGCCUGCCGUUGAAACUGGCGGCCUCGAGUGGGCGAGAAGUAUGCGGAAUGCGUGGUGUAGCGGUGAAAUGCAUAGAUAUCACGCAGAACUCCGAUUGCGAAGGCAGCAUACCGGCGCCCGACUGACGCUGAGGCACGAAAGCGUGGGUAUCGAACAGGAUUAGAUACCCUGGUAGUCCACGCAGUAAACGAUGAAUGCUAGCUGUCCGGUUCUACGGGACUGGGUGGCACAGCGAAAGCGUUAAGCAUUCCACCUGGGGAGUACGCCGGCAACGGUGAAACUCAAAGGAAUUGACGGGGGCCCGCACAAGCGGAGGAACAUGUGGUUUAAUUCGAUGAUACGCGAGGAACCUUACCCGGGCUCAAACGCCAAAGGACAGCCGUUGAAAGGCGGCCUCCCUCCGGGGUCUUUGGCGAGGUGCUGCAUGGUUGUCGUCAGCUCGUGCCGCGAGGUGUCGGCUUAAGUGCCAUAACGAGCGCAACCCCCAUCGACAGUUGCUAACGGGUAGAGCCGAGGACUCUGUCGAGACUGCCGGCGCAAGCUGCGAGGAAGGCGGGGAUGACGUCAAAUCAGCACGGCCCUUACGUCCGGGGCGACACACGUGUUACAAUGGCCGGUACAGCGGGAUGCCAGGGCGCGAGCCCGAGCGGAACCCGAAAACCGGUCUCAGUUCGGAUUGGAGUCUGCAACCCGACUCCAUGAAGCUGGAUUCGCUAGUAAUCGCGCAUCAGCCACGGCGCGGUGAA
RNAcentral lists this ribosomal RNA (1354 nucleotides) under uncultured bacterium. Its description in RNAcentral is "bacterial SSU rRNA". It matches the Rfam family "Bacterial small subunit ribosomal RNA", at positions 25 to 1366 of the family's 1533-position model. The record is from RNAcentral.